AUUAGAUACCCUGGUAGUCCACGCAGUAAACGAUGAAUGUCAGCUGUCCGGGACUUCGGUCCUGGGUGGCACAGCGAAAGCGUUAAACAUUCCACCUGGGGAGUACGCCGGCAACGGUGAAACUCAAAGGAAUUGACGGGGGCCCGCACAAGCGGAGGAACAUGUGGUUUAAUUCGAUGAUACGCGAGGAACCUUACCCGGGCUCAAACGUGACUGGAAUGUCCGCGAAAGCGGGCAGCCCUUCGGGGCCGGUUACGAGGUGCUGCAUGGUUGUCGUCAGCUCGUGCCGUGAGGUGUCGGCUUAAGUGCCAUAACGAGCGCAACCCCUACCGACAGUUGCUAACAAGCGAAGUUGAGGACUCUGUCGGGACUGCCGGCGCAAGCUGCGAGGAAGGCGGGGAUGACGUCAAAUCAGCACGGCCCUUACGUCCGGGGCGACACACGUGUUACAAUGGCGGGUACAGCGGGAGGCCAUGCGGCGACGCAGAGCGGAACCCGAAAGCCUGUCUCAGUUCGGAUCGGAGUCUGCAACUCGACUCCGUGAAGCUGGAUUCGCUAGUAAUCGCGCAUCAGCCAUGGCGCGGUGAAUACGUUCCCGGGCCUUGUACACACCGCCCGUCACACCAUGGGAGUUUGUAACGCCCAAAGUCGGUGGCCUAACCUUUAUGGAGGGAGCCGCCUAAGGCGGGACAGAUGACUGGGGUGAAGUCGUAACAAGGUAUCAAGGGCGAAUUCGCG
RNAcentral lists this ribosomal RNA (738 nucleotides) under uncultured bacterium. RNAcentral describes it as "bacterial SSU rRNA". It matches the Rfam family "Bacterial small subunit ribosomal RNA", at positions 777 to 1533 of the family's 1533-position model. The record is from RNAcentral.